CCUACGGGGGGCUGCAGUCGAGGAUCUUCCGCAAUGGGCGCAAGCCUGACGGAGCGACGCCGCGUGGAGGACGAAGGCCUUAGGGUUGUAAACUCCUGUCGAGGGUUAUGAAGAGCGUCUGGCGAACAGCCUGACGAGUGACGUAAGCCCUGGAGGAAGCACCGGCUAACUCUGUGCCAGCAGCCGCGGUAAUACAGAGGGUGCUAACGUUGUUCGGAAUUACUGGGCAUAAAGCGCACGUAGGCGGCGCGUCAAGUGCGGGGUGAAAGCCCACGGCUUACCCGUGGAACAGCUUUGCAUACUGACGUGCUGGAGUGCGGUAGAGGAGAGCGGAACUCUUGGUGGAGCGGUGAAAUGCGUAGAUAUCAAGAGGAACACCAAAGGCGAAGGCAGCUCUCUGGGCCGUUACUGACGCUGAGGUGCGAAAGCCAGGGGAUCAAACGGGCUUAGAUACCCUUGUAGUC
This 464-nucleotide ribosomal RNA is filed under the name uncultured bacterium. RNAcentral's name for it is "bacterial SSU rRNA". It matches the Rfam family "Bacterial small subunit ribosomal RNA", at positions 338 to 795 of the family's 1533-position model. The record is from RNAcentral.